UGGUAAGGAAAUGAGAUCAUUUUCAAGAAGAAAAGGAUCAGGGUCUCGAAGAAAAAUAGUUAGCAAGAUGACUUAAGUAGAAAAGAGGAUGUUGAUAGGCCCAUGUCUAAUCCUCUUGCACCAGAAUCUGAAACUUUUGCUAAGUAUAGAAACUCAUUGAUGUCAGGACAACAAUUGAUUGAGAGUGUUGCCGAACAAGUACCAAGUUUCGUAACUGAACUGGUAUUUCUCCAAUACUGUGUAUCAUGUCUCUCUAACACUAUUUGUUAUCAAGUUCUCAUCCAUUAGGAUCCAUGAAAAAAGGUUUAGUCUCUUCCAAGGGCAGUGACUGUGCUAUCAGGUUUGGUGACUUGAUAGCUAUUAGACAAUUUUGUUUUGGUAGACAAGAAAUAUAUAUAUACAUCUGAAUGUCAUAUUCAUAGUUACGAAUGAGCAAGCUUUCACCAUUUCCCUAUGUGUUUAAACUAUAUAUUUAGAUCA
Long non-coding RNA from Humulus lupulus (European hop), 480 nucleotides. RefSeq lists it as uncharacterized. The record is from RefSeq and is a predicted model, not a curated record. Lineage: Eukaryota; Viridiplantae; Streptophyta; Magnoliopsida; Rosales; Cannabaceae. The transcript is spliced from 2 exons.